This 305-nucleotide unclassified non-coding RNA is filed under the name uncultured fungus. RNAcentral's name for it is "partial contains 18S rRNA, ITS1, 5.8S rRNA". Lineage: Eukaryota; Fungi. The record is from RNAcentral.
GCAGAAGGAUCAUUAGUGAAGAUUCAAGGGCCAGCCAUACAGACGUACAAUAAGUGUGUCUCUGGCGGCUCGCAUCCACUAUACAUCCAUAAACCCGUGUGCACUGUUCUAAGGAGUAAGAAAGAAGAAGGGGAGGGGAGAGAGAGUGCAUGUGCUUUGCAUAUAACUCUCUCUCACUCUCCACUCUCUCUCUCCGGUUAAUUACAAACUCGUAUGGAUUUGUAUGAACGUGAGAUAUAUCGUUGGACCGUCACUGGCCAACAAAUAUAACACAACUUUCGACAACGGAUCUCUUGGUUCUCCCA